Molecule: ribosomal RNA, 562 nt
Filed under: uncultured bacterium
Lineage: Bacteria
Description: bacterial SSU rRNA
Rfam family: Bacterial small subunit ribosomal RNA
Source: RNAcentral
CCUACGGGAGCAGCAGUGGGGAAUCUUGCGCAAUGGGCGAAAGCCUGACGCAGCAACGCCGCGUGCGGGAAGAAGGCUUUCGGGCUGUAAACCGCUUUCAGCAGGAACGAAAAUGACGGUACCUGCAGAAGGAGGAGCGGCCAACUAUGUGCCAGCAGCCGCGGUGAUACAUAGGCUUCAAGCGUUGUCCGGAUUUAUUGGGCGUAAAGAGUUCGUAGGCGGCCGAGUAAGUCGGGUGUGAAAAUUCUGGGCUCAACCCAGAGACGCCACCCGAUACUGCUUGACUUGAGUUCGAUAGGGGAGUGGGGAAUUCCUAGUGUAGCGGUGAAAUGCGCAGAUAUUAGGAGGAACACCGGUGGCGAAGGCGCCACUCUGGAUCGAUACUGACGCUGAGGAACGAAAGCAUGGGUAGCAAACAGGAUUAGAUACCCUGGUAGUCCAUGCCGUAAACGGUGGGCACUAGGUGUGGGUUUCUAUUAACGAAAUUCCGCGCCGUCGCUAACGCAUUAAGUGCCCCGCCUGGGGAGUACGGUGCAAGACUAAAACUCAAAUGAAUUGACGG